Molecule: ribosomal RNA, 403 nt
Filed under: Actinomycetes bacterium
Lineage: Bacteria; Bacillati; Actinomycetota; Actinomycetes
Description: Actinobacteria bacterium partial 16S ribosomal RNA
Rfam family: Bacterial small subunit ribosomal RNA
Source: RNAcentral
UGGGGAAUAUUGCACAAUGGGGGAAACCCUGAUGCAGCGACGCCGCGUGAACGAAGAAGGUAUUCGUAUCGUAAAGUUCUGUCCUAUGGGAAGAUAAUGACAGUACCAUAGAAGAAAGCUCCGGCUAAAUACGUGCCAGCAGCCGCGGUAAUACGUAUGGAGCGAGCGUUGUCCGGAAUUAUUGGGCGUAAAGGGUACGCAGGCGGUUUAAUAAGUCGAAUGUUAAAGAUCGGGGCUCAACCCCGUAAAGCAUUGGAAACUGAUAAACUUGAGUACUGGAGAGGAAAGUGGAAUUCCUAGUGUAGUGGUGAAAUACGUAGAUAUUAGGAGGAAUACCAGUAGCGAAGGCGACUUUCUGGACACAAACUGACGCUGAGGUACGAAAGCGUGGGGAGCAAACAGG